Molecule: ribosomal RNA, 477 nt
Filed under: uncultured bacterium
Lineage: Bacteria
Description: partial 16S ribosomal RNA
Rfam family: Bacterial small subunit ribosomal RNA
Source: RNAcentral
AUUGAACGCUGGCGGCAUGCCUUACACAUGCAAGUCGAACGGUAACAGGUUAAGCUGACGAGUGGCGAACGGGUGAGUAAUACAUCGGAACGUGCCCAGUAGUGGGGGAUAGCCCGGCGCAAGCCGGAUUAAUACCGCAUACGACCUAAGGGUGAAAGGGGGGGAUCGCAAGACCUCUCGCUAUUGGAGCGGCCGAUGUCAGAUUAGCUAGUUGGUGGGGUAAAAGCUCACCAAGGCGACGAUCUGUAGCUGGUCUGAGAGGACGACCAGCCACACUGGGACUGAGACACGGCCCAGACUCCUACGGGAGGCAGCAGUGGGGAAUUUUGGACAAUGGGCGCAAGCCUGAUCCAGCCAUGCCGCGUGCGGGAAGAAGGCCUUCGGGUUGUAAACCGCUUUUGUCAGGGAAGAAAUCCUUUGGGUUAAUACCUCGGGGGGAUGACGGUACCUGAAGAAUAAGCACCGGCUAACUACGUG